This 896-nucleotide ribosomal RNA is filed under the name Candidatus Dojkabacteria bacterium. RNAcentral's name for it is "partial 23S ribosomal RNA". It matches the Rfam family "Bacterial large subunit ribosomal RNA", at positions 2017 to 2925 of the family's 2925-position model. The record is from RNAcentral.
UGUCUCGACAGGGAGCUCGGCGAACAUUGAAAUGGCUGUAAAGAUGCGGCCUACCCGCACCAGGACAAAAAGACCCCGGGAUCUUUACUGUAGCUUGUCAUUGAGAUAAGGUUUUUAUUGUAGAGUGUAGGAGGGAGACUUUGAAGCUUGAUCGCCAGAUUGAGUGGAGUCGACAAUGUAACACCUCCCUUUGAAUUCUUUAUUUCUUAUUUGGGCCGUUAUCCGGUACCGAAGACAGUGUCAGGUGGGCAGUUUGACUGGGGCGGUUUCUUACUAAAGAGUAACGUAAGAUUUCAAAGGUCAACUCAGGCUGGAUGGAAAUCAGCUUAAGAGUGCAAUGGCAUAAGUUGGCUUUACUGCAAGACCGACAGGUCGAGCAGUCACGAAAGUGGGACAUAGUGACCCUUAAGUAGUGUGUGGAAACGCUUUUGUUUAAAGGAUAAAAGUUACCCCGGGGAUAACAGGCUGGUCUUGCCCAAGCGUCCAUAGCGACGGCAAGGUUCGGCACCUCGAUGUCGGCUCGUCGUUUUCUGGGGCUGGAGAAGGUCCCAAGGGUUAGGCUGUUCGCCUAUUAAAACGGCACGUGAGCUGGGUUCAAACCGACGUGAGUCAGGUUGGUCUCUAUCCGGUGUGGGCGUUAGAAUUUUGAGAGAAUUGACCCUUAGUACGAGAGGAUCAGGGUGAGGUAACCUCUGGUGUACCAGUUGUUCCACCAGGAGCAUAGCUGGGUAGCUACGUUGCUAUUAGGAUAAAUGCUGAAGGCAUAUAAGCAUGAAGCCAAUCUCAAGAUGAGAAUUCUUUUAAGAUACCUAGUAGACGACUAGGUUGAUAGGCUCUAGGUGUAAGUACAGUGAUGUACUAAGCCGAGGAGUACUAAUAUAUCGUAACUUACUAAA